GGCUUUGUGCAGUGGUAGUAUCGUAGCCAAUGAGGUUUAUCCGAGGGGUGAUUAUUGCUAACUGAAAACUUUUCCCAGACAU
Molecule: small nuclear RNA, 82 nt
Filed under: Rattus norvegicus (Norway rat)
Lineage: Eukaryota; Metazoa; Chordata; Mammalia; Rodentia; Muridae
Description: U4 spliceosomal RNA
Rfam family: U4 spliceosomal RNA
About the family: U4 small nuclear RNA (U4 snRNA) is a component of the major U2-dependent spliceosome.
Source: Rfam by way of RNAcentral